GAAGUAAGCUGGAACUCAACGAAUCAAAUUAUUUGAAAGCAGUGUAGGUUUGAAUAUAUUCAAAGCCUUUUUCAGAAACAAGUUUGUAGAAAGGACAUAGGAAAAAAGUCAGGAUAAAAAAUGAGAAAAAUAUCAAAAACUGAAAGGGGACCAUAAUGGAAAAGAAAACACGUCACUUGGAUGAUAAAGAAAUAGAAUUCCUCUAAAUGAAUCAAGCAUUUGAUUGAUCAAAAGAUGAAUUGGAGGAGUGAUUAUUUGAAUUUAUUCAAAGGUGGGUUCUGGUGCAAUAUUCAAAAUGGUUGCAAUUGCAAAGACAAACAUUUAUCAAUAAAGUCGUAUUUGAAUAUGUUUUUAUGGCAAGUCAAGGAUAGUAGAUGCUGUCAAAAUAUUGAAUAUACCAUUGUCUUGCAAUGCAUGAAAAAAUUCUGUAAACAAAACAAACUCGGUUAUGAAUGAUAAUAGUUAACCUAUGUUAUUAACUUUGAAUCUGAUCAAAGUAUCUCAAAAAUAGAACUCUCCGAAAGAUAGAAUGAGAAGCAAUCAUUUUUACUUCUGUUCAUUAAUCUAAUUUUUAUAAUUAAUCUUAAUCUUACUUAUGUUCUUUCUUUUUUCAGGCAUGGUGUUCGAGCUUUUCCUUUUUCUGAAGGAUGUUGCUACUUUUUGCAUGCAAUCUUUUUUAUCUCUAAAUGACAAAAAUGCUUCUUAGGUUUUACUUUUUCAGACACAAUCUUUUCUGGAGAAUUAUCUGUAGAAAAGGCAACGCAGCCAAUGUCUGGAUAGAAUAAUGAAUAAAGUACCAUAACCUGAAAAAAAUCAAAACUGAAGGAAAUGCCUCACAAUUUUACUUAUUUGCAUGAGAAAUUGAGUAAGACAAAGUUCAACUAAACGAAAAAUGGAUAAAGUGGUGAAAUGAAGCAAAGCUUAUUUCAUGGUGAGUUCUAAUGAAAUUUUCAACCUCUUUUAUUUUGACAAAUAAGAUUAAUAUUUACUCUGAAAGAAUUGUCAUUAAAACUAAUGCAACGAUCUUUCCAGCCUACUAAAUAUCAGAAGCCUAUACAUGUUGCUAGAUGGUACCAAAAAAUACCUUUGUUUUUCAAUAUAUGACAAGACUCUCUCUAAGUAAUUAAAAUUCAUUAAAAUAUACCUAUUGCUUUUCUAUAAUAACACUUGUAAAAUCAGAUCAAAAUAUCAAAAAUUAUAAGAUUGUUUCGGAUAUCAAAUUAGAAAGCAUUUAUUUGUUUACAUGUAAAUAUCAACUUUGUUUUUCUUUUUCAGGUGUGGUGGUCGAAUUUUUCUUUUUUGGACUUUUUCACCAGUUUUUCGGAUGCAAUUUUUUCACUUUUUGUGAUAUAAUUUGUUUUUAGGUUUUGCUUUUUUCAGAAAUCUUUUCGGAGAAUUUUCUGCUGAAAAGACAAUGCAGCAAAUGCUUAGUUAGAAUAAUGAAUAAAGAUCUAAAACCUUGAAGAAGAUCAUAAUGGGAAGAUAAAGCAGGAAGUGCCUUACCACGAUUCUUAGCUGCUUGAGAAUUCACUUGAGCAAAGAUGAACUGAAGCAAAACCUGAUGACUUAAAGGUGAACUGAAGCAGUGCUUACUUUAAGGUGGGUUCUUAUGCAAUUUUCCACAUCUUUUUUCUUCAUAUAUAACAUAAAUGCUCACUCUGAAAGACUAAUCAUUAAUAGCAACACAACGAUCAAGCCAAAAUAAGUAAUAACAGGUCUUUGUUUGAUGCUGUUAGAGGCUAUGAAAAAUACCUUCUUUUAUUGACUGUCUUCUAAUAUUUGAAAAAGUAGAUGCUCAGCUAUAAGUGAUACAUUCAUUAUCUGGUCAAAAUAUCUAAAAAUGUAGAGCUAUCUAAGAGAUACUGUUUAAUCGAUUGGCUGUUUUACUCAUAUUUAUUAACUCUUUUUUUCUUUUCAGGUUGGCGAUUGAGUUUUUUAUUUUUCUGGAGGUUUUUUGCAUACAACCUCUGUAAUUCUUAGUGAUUCUCAUACCAUGCUUCGUAGGUUUUCCUUUUUUAGCAGCAAAGACAUUGGGACAGACGUCUGUAUGAAAUAUUGACUUAUGUUGAAGUGGUAAUAAUGCAGCAAAAUUACAAUAUUGGAGGGACAACAAUUUCAUCGCUGGAAGAUGAGAAAGCCAUUUACAAACGAACGGUGAGCGCAUUUCAUUUACAACAUUUCAAACAAAGCAGUAUUAAAAAGAUAAUUAAUCUUUAAUAAGUUCUUAUCGCUGUCUUUGGUUGUCAAGAACCUUGUCUUUGGAAAAGAAUCUAGGAAAGCCUGAUAUGCAUACAAAAAUACACUCGGAUUAUUUCCCCGUCUAAAAUUAUUUUAAAUAUUUACUUUUAAAUCAGCCGCUUGUACCAAUUUUACGAAUAUUUGAACUCAUAAUUAUUUAAUGUAUAGGAAGAAAAGCAUUUGUGUUUGAAAAACAAAGUUUUUUUAUGCGCUUUUUUGGAUAAAACUUCUUCUAAAAGUCACGUUUUCCAAGUCAAAUCUAGGCAAGUGUUUAUAAAUAUCACAAACACUCCAGGUUGUUCCAAGCCAAAGCAUGAUUUCAAAACACUUUUGAGAGCAUAGUUAGUAUUUUUUUCUUUCUCGAGGUAGAUAAAUGAAAAACGAUUUUAAAAAGAGUGUAAGUUUUAAGAAAUGACGAAUUGUCAGAAGGUCUUUAGCAAAAUAUUAUCUUAUUGACCUCAAAGAUCAAUCAUAAGUUCUUCGGCAUUGUUAAGAGUUGGAUAGGAUUUCUAAUUCUUUUUCAAACACUUUCUGAUAGAGCAUGCUAAAGGGUUGCUUCAAGCAAAUGUAUUAUCAUUCUAAAAUUGCUUAUUUAAAAAGCCAAUCCAAAUAUUGUCAUUUUAAAAACUCUAAAUGCAAAAAAUCAGCUCAAAUAGUCCAAAAUCUUGUAAUUUUAUCGACCUUUGCUUUCGCUAGUGGAAAUGUUGAGUUUUUGGGGUGUCUUGCUUGGUUGCUGUUGGUUGGUUAGAGUGUGUGUUUGGUUUUUGCUCUUUGGAAGAAAAGGGGUGUUGGUGAGAUGGGAAAUUUACAGCGAGAGCGAAGGUCGAUAUUCUUCUAAAAAAUCUUAAUUUCUUCAAAUUUCUUUAUUAAGUGCUAUGUCCUAAAGACUUUCAGAAAGAAACAGCAUUUUCAUUGUUAUGAGUCGAAACAUAAGUUGUUAAGAACAUAGAAAAAUUACGAAAUAUUUUACAUAUGAAGAUUAUUGAAAUGUUGCCUUAUGAAAAUCCCAUGAAAAUAACAUAUAGAAAUUAUCAAAAUUUAGUCAUUAAAAUUUUCUAAGUGACUUUGUUUUUCUAAUGCAUUCCAACCUAAUAAGAACUUGUCAAAGGUCCAUGAAUUCCCAAGAGAAUUUUGUUGAGCACAUGACAAUUGUAGAGAGCACGUGCAAGGCAAUUUUGGCAAUGGGAAAUUUUUUCUUCAUAGAAAAUACAGUGUUGUUACAUUUGGACAAAUAUUUGAUAUAAUGUGACCAAAAUGUUAGGUAUGAUUAAUAAAAGUAGCGGGUUUAAGUUCAAAAACUCUCUUUACUUAUUGUAAGAAAGGAGAAGGCAAUGCAAAUUCAUAGUUUCAGGGACUGGAGAUGCCUAAGAAGUAGAUGUUGACCUGCCUGGAGACCAAGGGUCUCUUGAGUACAGGGGAAGAAUAAUUGCACGAAGUUUCGUUUAGCUUCUAUCAAAAUUAUUGUUUUGUCAGAUCAUGAGGUCAAGCUUGAUUUGUUCCGUCGCUUGGUUCUCUUGAAAACAACUAGAAAACGUAUGAGUUGUUUUAGGCCUUUACUUGGUCGAGAAAUUUCAAUGUUUAUCUUGGACUAAUUGAUUAUAUAUUUUGCAAUGACGUCAUAUUGAAUUAUUUCCUUGAUGGAACUUCGAUAUUGCUGGCUUCUGUAUUAUUUUUUCAGGAGAUUUGCGUGGAGAGAAGCAAUUGCUGGAUGCAGAACUAUGCUGGAAUCAAGAAUUUGAAGACUUACGAACAAUUUGUCGAUAUUGGACUUGAAUAUUAGAGUAUUACAGUAGAUUACUAUUAAUUUUGAAUUGGUACUUUCUCGCAAGUUCGGCUCUAUUACCAAGACAGCAGAAGGUUUUUAAGUCUCCCGUUGGAUCCAAAGCAAUCGAGUAAUCUACUACAUGUAUCAAAUCCAACUAAGGAGCAUUUUUGAGUUUGAGUCACCCGUACAAUGUCUUUCGCUACCCGGUAAGGUACCUUAAUUUCAAUCUAUAAUAUAAGCUUUAAUUGAAGCUAUCGUUUCUUCCCCUACCGUUUAACUUACCCCUUACCCCUUACCCAUUACCCUUUACCCCUACCCUUUACCCUUUACCGCAAGGUCCCUCUAUUUCAAUAUAAUAUAAACAUCAAUUUAAGAUAUUGGUUUCUCCCCUACCCUUUACCUUAAGUCUAUUAUUUCUCUAUAAGCCCAUUUAGAGUUUCAUCGCUGGACAACUAAUUCCUUUAUAAGCAAUAAGCCACAUACAGUUGCUAAGUGUGUAUUUAAUUUUCCCGUUCAAGUCAUAUCCCUUAUACGAUAUACUAGUUUGCGAGAAAGUGCAUUAUUUAUUCAAUUUAACGCAUUGCAAUCAUAAGUUUGGGCUUAUUCUCUAAAUGGAUGUGAGCAAGGCGCCUGUUCUCGUCUGUUUUUAGGAUAAGUCCUUUCGUUUCUACUUAGAUUUGUUUGUAAUUGUAGUUUAAUUUUUGUAUUUAGUUUGUAGUAUGCUUAGGAGACUGUUUUCCGUGUUGCGUUAGGGGUUAUGGCACGGCGUUUUAAUCGGGGAGUUACCAAGAGGGCCUUGUCCUUCUUGUUAACCCUUUGCUUAAAACGCCAUGUUUACAUAACCCCUAACUCAACAUUGAAAGGGUUUUCUUAGCACGGUGUUUUAAUCAGAGGGUUAACAAGGGGAACUUCUUUUUCCUCUUGUUAACCCUUUGCUUAAAACACCAUGCUAAGGCAAACCCCGACUGAAAACAGUCUCCUCGGCACGUAGAGUAGACCUUAAAUUGUAAGUAGAGUAAGAUCGCUUGAAUGAAGUGGAGAAAAUCGAACUGAAUUGUUUUCAACCCCCCGUCUUUCUACUGCUACAAACGAGGCUACUGAACCCCCGUCUUUCUGUAGAACGAAAACGAGGCCAGGCGGGCAAAUUAGAGGCACCUGAUUGGCUAUUAAACAAUGGAAAAACAAUAAAGAAAUAACAAGCUCUGAUUGGUCAGAAAACAAUAGAAUAAUUGAAAUAGCGAGUUCUGAUUGGUUGAAAUUACAAUAGAGCGGGGCCAAAAUAGCGUAAUCUGAUUGGUUAAUAAACAAUGGUGGCCCUCCGCGGCCAAGGGCUAGCUCAAAAUUGGUAUAUUUGUAGGUGACGGCUCCUGCCCGCAGCCACCAAAAGGGCUGAAAUGGAGCAAUCUGAUUGGUUGAAAACAAUGAGCUGUCAAUCAUUUGCGGCUCCAAGCCGCCUUUAGUUCAGCCACCUGUCGCGGCCAAGGUUUUUGGCUGAAUACAAUAGAAAGCCGGGGGACUUUGCCACCAGAGUCUCCGAAACUCUUUUCCCAAUUUCAAAAGAGUUUUCAAUAGAAAUCCGGGGGAAUAUCUUUUGAAUUCCAAUUGUAAUUAUUGGAGACUUCCAUUGAAAUCUUUACCAAGUUUCAAGGAUUGAACAAAGGAAUAACCAUAGAAAUACAAAGCGUCUUUGUCAUGAACACAAUCAAAAUUCUAGGAAGUCGGGGGUACAUUCAAUAGAAUUAAAGUUGAAUUAUAAUAGAAAAAAGGAGGUAAAUUCAAUAGCAACUAAGUAAAAAUACAAUAGAAAAUCGGGGGUCAAUUGAACAGUAUCUAAGGCAAAAUACAAUAGAAAAUGGGGGGUAAAUUGAACAGUAUCUAAGGUAAAAUACAAUAGAAAAUCGGGGGUAAA
This is a non-coding RNA of Rhopilema esculentum, 5912 nucleotides long. The record is from RefSeq and is a predicted model, not a curated record. NCBI's taxonomy places the organism in Eukaryota, Metazoa, Cnidaria, Scyphozoa, Rhizostomeae, Rhizostomatidae.